UUGGAGGGCAAGUCUGGUGCCAGCAGCCGCGGUAAUUCCAGCUCCAAUAGCGUAUAUUAAAGUUGUUGCAGUUAAAAAGCUCGUAGUUGAAUUUCGGGAUUCUACCGUUGGUCGGGCUAACAAGUCUGUACUGGUGUGUAGAAUUUCUACCUUCUGGGGAACUAUCAUGUUAUUAAUUUAGCGUGGUGGGAAACCAGGACCUUUACCUUGAAAAAAUUAGAGUGUUCAAAGCAGGCUUACAGUCUGAAUACAUUAGCAUGGAAUAAUAGAGUAGGACGGUGGUCCUGUUUUGUUGGUUUCUGAAUCACCGUAAUGAUUAAUAGGGAUAGUUGGGGGCAUUAGUAUUCAAUUGUCAGAGGUGAAAUUCUUGGAUUUAUUGAAGACUAACUUCUGCGAAAGCAUUUGCCAAGGAUGUUUUCAUUAAUCAAGAACGAAAGUUAGGGGAUCGAAGACGAUCAGAUACCGUCAUAGUCUUAGCCAUAAACUAUGCCGACUAGGGAUCGGACGAUGUUAAAUUUUAUUGACUCGUUCGGCGCCUUACGGGAAAC
Molecule: ribosomal RNA, 548 nt
Filed under: uncultured Glomeromycotina
Lineage: Eukaryota; Fungi; Glomeromycota
Description: SSU rRNA
Rfam family: Eukaryotic small subunit ribosomal RNA
Source: RNAcentral